Molecule: ribosomal RNA, 503 nt
Filed under: uncultured bacterium
Lineage: Bacteria
Description: partial 16S ribosomal RNA
Rfam family: Bacterial small subunit ribosomal RNA
Source: RNAcentral
AUUGAACGCUGGCGGCAGGCUUAACACAUGCAAGUCGAGCGGGGUGAUGGUGCUUGCACUAUCACUUAGCGGCGGACGGGUGAGUAAUGCUUAGGAAUCUGCCUAUUAGUGGGGGACAACAUCUCGAAAGGGAUGCUAAUACCGCAUACGUCCUACGGGAGAAAGCAGGGGAUCACUUGUGACCUUGCGCUAAUAGAUGAGCCUAAGUCGGAUUAGCUAGUUGGUGGGGUAAAGGCCUACCAAGGCGACGAUCUGUAGCGGGUCUGAGAGGAUGAUCCGCCACGCUGGGACUGAGACACGGCCCAGACUCCUACGGGAGGCAGAAGUUGGGAAUAUUGGGCAAUGGGGGGAACCCUGAUCCAGCCAUGCCGCGUGUGUGAAGAAGGCCUUAUGGUUGUAAAGCACUUUAAGCGAGGAGGAGGCUCUUUUGGUUAAUACCCAAGAUGAGUGGACGUUACUCGCAGAAUAAGCACCGGCUAACUCUGUGCCAGCCGCCGCUGUAA